This 253-nucleotide ribosomal RNA is filed under the name uncultured bacterium. Its description in RNAcentral is "partial 16S ribosomal RNA". It matches the Rfam family "Bacterial small subunit ribosomal RNA", at positions 524 to 776 of the family's 1533-position model. The record is from RNAcentral.
UACAGAGGUCCCAAGCGUUGUUCGGAUUCACUGGGCGUAAAGGGUGCGUAGGUGGCUUGGUAAGUUUGAUGUGGAAUCUCCGGGCUUAACCCGGAAAUGGCAUUGAAUACUAUUGAGCUGGAGGUUUGGAGGGGGGACUGGAAUUCUCGGUGUAGCAGUGAAAUGCGUAGAUAUCGAGAGGAACACCAGUGGCGAAGGCGAGUCCCUGGACAACACCUGACACUGAGGCACGAAAGCCAGGGGAGCAAACGGG